RNAcentral lists this long non-coding RNA (557 nucleotides) under Bos indicus x Bos taurus (hybrid cattle). RNAcentral's name for it is "lncRNA (ENSBIXG00005000559.1)". Lineage: Eukaryota; Metazoa; Chordata; Mammalia; Artiodactyla; Bovidae. The record is from RNAcentral.
GGACCUACAAAGGAUUUAGAAUGCUGUCUGGGUAGCACAUAGUAAGUGCUCAGCAGUGCUAUUUUAUUUCUCUGUUUAUGGUUCAGUUUUAUACCUCAGUAAUCUUUCUCUCUCUUUUUCUCUCUCCAGAGAAGUAAAAAAAAAAAAAAAAAAAGAUGAAAAUGAGGAUGACAAUUACCAAUCUGAGUGGGACCGGUUCCAAAAAGUCAACCCAGAUAAGAAUCGUUGCAGUGGUUAAAUCCCAAACAUCCUUAGCCCGUGAAGACUUUGUUCUCAGAGAACUGAAUAACUGUGAAUCUUUGUUUUUCCUGGACCAAACUAAAGUGAACUUCAUUCCUGUCUGAUCUUUCCCCAUCUUCAAAAGUGGAAGCACUGGAAGCUCCUUUGUUCAAGCUGUGUGCCUUUGAGAGAGGAAGAAAAAGACUUCAAGGGGCAAGUUUACUUUAAUGCAAAGAGUCAGUUUUCAAGUAAUGUAAUCCUUUUUUGGAUAAACUGAUGUUGAGUAUGAUUAGCAAACCCUUGAUAAUAAAGUCUCUGCAUUUAAUGCUGAUAUCUCA